This is a long non-coding RNA of Lycium barbarum (goji berry), 980 nucleotides long. RefSeq lists it as uncharacterized. The transcript has 4 exons. NCBI's taxonomy places the organism in Eukaryota, Viridiplantae, Streptophyta, Magnoliopsida, Solanales, Solanaceae. The record is from RefSeq and is a predicted model, not a curated record.
AUUCGAUUUUUUCUAUUUCUUUUCUGCAUUUUAAACGGUCAAACACUGAAAUUCCUUAAUGGUUCUUGUUUGUUUGCGAUUUUAAAUCUUGAGUUUUUAUUGGUUCAUGAAGACCCUUUUGAGAUCGGUCUCUGUUGGUCGAAAUCCGACCUUUGAUAUGUUAUUGACCUACGAUUCAAAGAUGUAAGGAGGAAAUCCCAAUUUUGGGGAUUUAUCCCACAUCGAUCAAUUUAGGGUUUUGAGAGUUUUGGGGAUUCUAUAAAUACAGCCCUAAUUUUCACUAUUUGAGACACCUUGCAUCUGAUAUUCACUUGCAAAAACUGAAUACUUAGGUUUUUAGCAUUAUUUCCUUAAAUUCUUCAAUUUUUCGGUUUGAGUUUAAAAUUUUGUUUCUUUGUUUGUGUGGUCUUGCUAUGUGAUUCUGAUUUUUUGGGGGAACAACCAAAGUCUUCAAGUUGGAAUCUGGACCUACGCUGCACUUAAGAAAGUUGGUUGAGCCAAAGGCCCAACACCAUUUGUUUGAUCGAGUAUGGGUGAUAUGAAAGGGAAGCAAAUAUAUUGAAGGCCCGGUCAUGGGUGAAAUAACUCGAAGGCCCAACUAUGGGUGGAAAAAGUAACUGGCGGGCUUAGCCAACUGAACCCACGGAACUCCCUUUGCUUUGUCUCGGGAUUGACUCAAUCAAUGAGAACCACAAUGAAAUGCUUCUGGCAUGCCAAAGCAAGGCCUAGCUCUCUGUGGUGGGGCGAUCUCGCUAGGUGAGAUAAUGAGACCAAAGCAUGAAAAAUCGUCUGCCUGCAUAGAAGUUAAUAUAUAAAUGCAUAGAAGGCCCAGUCAUGGGUGAAAAUGGCCAACUAGGGGCUUGGUACGCCCUUACGCUUCCCUUCUCUUUUAUUUUGUACAUUUUCUUUCAUGUGUAAAGUUAGGUUGUAUUUGAAAUUCCUUGUAAGAACUCAUAAAUAUUUAUUGAAAUCCUUAUGUA